UAACACAUGCAAGUCGAACGGUAACAUUUCUAGCUUGCUAGAAGAUGACGAGUGGCGGACGGGUGAGUAAUGCUUGGGAACUUGCCUUUGCGAGGGGGAUAACAGUUGGAAACGACUGCUAAUACCGCAUAAUGUCUUCGGACCAAACGGGGCUUCGGCUCCGGCGCAAAGAGAGGCCCAAGUGAGAUUAGCUAGUUGGUAAGGUAACGGCUUACCAAGGCGACGAUCUCUAGCUGUUCUGAGAGGAAGAUCAGCCACACUGGGACUGAGACACGGCCCAGACUCCUACGGGAGGCAGCAGUGGGGAAUAUUGCACAAUGGGGGAAACCCUGAUGCAGCCAUGCCGCGUGUGUGAAGAAGGCCUUCGGGUUGUAAAGCACUUUCAGUUGUGAGGAAAAGUUAGUAGUUAAUACCUGCUAGCCGUGACGUUAACAACAGAAGAAGCACCGGCUAACUCCGUGCCAGCAGCCGCGGUAAUACGGAGGGUGCGAGCGUUAAUCGGAAUUACUGGGCGUAAAGCGCACGCAGGCGGUUUGUUAAGCUAGAUGUGAAAGCCCCGGGCUCAACCUGGGAUGGUCAUUUAGAACUGGCAGACUAGAGUCUUGGAGAGGGGAGUGGAAUUCCAGGUGUAGCGGUGAAAUGCGUAGAUAUCUGGAGGAACAUCAGUGGCGAAGGCGACUCCCUGGCCAAAGACUGACGCUCAUGUGC
This 708-nucleotide ribosomal RNA is filed under the name Alteromonas sp. J589. Its description in RNAcentral is "bacterial SSU rRNA". It matches the Rfam family "Bacterial small subunit ribosomal RNA", at positions 49 to 754 of the family's 1533-position model. Lineage: Bacteria; Pseudomonadati; Pseudomonadota; Gammaproteobacteria; Alteromonadales; Alteromonadaceae. The record is from RNAcentral.